UACGUAGGGGGCAAGCGUUAUCCGGAAUCAUUGGGCGUAAAGCGCGUGUAGGCGGUUCCGUAAGUCCGCUCUGAAAGCCCAGGGCUCAACCCUGGGAGGCGGGUGGAUACUACGGAACUGGAGUACGGAAGAGGAGAUUGGAAUUCCUGGUGUAGCGGUGAAAUGCGCAGAUAUCAGGAGGAACACCGAUGGCGAAGGCAGAUCUCUGGGCCGUAACUGACGCUGAGGAGCGAAAGCAUGGGGAGCGAACAGG
Molecule: ribosomal RNA, 253 nt
Filed under: uncultured bacterium
Lineage: Bacteria
Description: partial 16S ribosomal RNA
Rfam family: Bacterial small subunit ribosomal RNA
Source: RNAcentral